RNAcentral lists this ribosomal RNA (187 nucleotides) under uncultured bacterium. RNAcentral describes it as "partial 16S ribosomal RNA". It matches the Rfam family "Bacterial small subunit ribosomal RNA", at positions 1317 to 1500 of the family's 1533-position model. The record is from RNAcentral.
UACAUGAAGCUGGAAUCGCUAGUAAUCGCGGAUCAGAAUGCCGCGGUGAAUACGUUCCCGGGUCUUGUACACACCGCCCGUCACACCAUGGGAGGUCGGAAAUGCCCGAAGUCUGUGACCCAACCUUAGGGAGGGAGGCAGCCGAAGGCAGGGUCGGAUGACUGGGGUGAAGUCGUAACAAGGUACC